GUGGGGAAUAUUGGACAAUGGGCGAAAGCCUGAUCCAGCCAUGCCGCGUGUGUGAAGAAGGUCUUCGGAUUGUAAAGCACUUUAAGUUGGGAGGAAGGGCAGUAAGUUAAUACCUUGCUGUUUUGACGUUACCGACAGAAUAAGCACCGGCUAACUUCGUGCCAGCAGCCGCGGUAAUACGAAGGGUGCAAGCGUUAAUCGGAAUUACUGGGCGUAAAGCGCGCGUAGGUGGUUCAGUAAGUUGGAAGUGAAAUCCCCGGGCUCAACCUGGGAACUGCUUUCAAAACUGCUGGGCUAGAGUACGGUAGAGGGUGGUGGAAUUUCCUGUGUAGCGGUGAAAUGCGUAGAUAUAGGAAGGAACACCAGUGGCGAAGGCGACCACCUGGACUGAUACUGACACUGAGGUGCGAAAGCGUGGGGAGCAAACAGGAUUAGAAACCCCGGUAGUCC
RNAcentral lists this ribosomal RNA (450 nucleotides) under uncultured bacterium. RNAcentral's name for it is "partial 16S ribosomal RNA". It matches the Rfam family "Bacterial small subunit ribosomal RNA", at positions 354 to 796 of the family's 1533-position model. The record is from RNAcentral.